RNAcentral lists this small RNA (27 nucleotides) under Arabidopsis thaliana (thale cress). RNAcentral describes it as "ATSL127440". Lineage: Eukaryota; Viridiplantae; Streptophyta; Magnoliopsida; Brassicales; Brassicaceae. The record is from RNAcentral.
GUUUGACAAAAAAAAUUGAAAAAAAAA